AGAGUUUGAUCCUGGCUCAGGACGAACGCUGGCGGCAUGCCUAACACAUGCAAGUCGAACGGAGUUAUUGUUUGGAAGUUUUUCGGAAUGGAAGAAUAAGAACUUAGUGGCGGACGGGUGAGUAACGCGUGGGUAACCUGCCCUUUUGUGGGGAACAACUUCGAGAAAUCGGAGCUAAUACCGCAUAAGCUUAUAGAGCCGCAUGGUUUUAUAAGGAAAGAUGGCCUCUGAAGAUGCUAUCGCAAAAGGAUGGACCCGCGUCUGAUUAGCUAGUUGGUGAGGUAAGGGCUUACCAAGGCGACGAUCAGUAGCCGGCCUGAGAGGGUGAACGGCCACAUUGGGACUGAGACACGGCCCAAACUCCUACGGGAGGCAGCAGUGGGGAAUCUUCCGCAAUGGGCGGAAGCCUGACGGAGCAAUGCCGCGUGAGUGAAGAAGGCCUUCGGGUUGUAAAACUCUGUCCUUAUCGAAGAGAGGGGAGCAUGUAAAGAAUGUGUUCUUAGGACGGUAGAUGAGGAGGAAGCCCCGGCUAACUACGUGCCAGCAGCCGCGGUAAUACGUAGGGGACGAGCGUUGUCCGGAAUCACUGGGCGUAAAGGGCGCGUAGGCGGUAUAAUAAGUCAGUGGUGAAAACUUGGGGCUCAACCCCGAGCCUGCCACUGAUACUGUUAGACUUGAGUAUGGAAGAGGAGAAUGGAAUUCCUAGUGUAGCGGUGAAAUGCGUAGAUAUUAGGAGGAACACCAGUGGCGAAGGCGAUUCUCUGGGCCAAGACUGACGCUGAGGCGCGAAAGCGUGGGGA
Molecule: ribosomal RNA, 800 nt
Filed under: uncultured bacterium
Lineage: Bacteria
Description: bacterial SSU rRNA
Rfam family: Bacterial small subunit ribosomal RNA
Source: RNAcentral